Molecule: ribosomal RNA, 253 nt
Filed under: uncultured bacterium
Lineage: Bacteria
Description: partial 16S ribosomal RNA
Rfam family: Bacterial small subunit ribosomal RNA
Source: RNAcentral
UACGUAGGGUCCAAGCGUUAUCCGGAAUCACUGGGCGUAAAGCGUGCGUAGGUGGUCUGUUAAGUGAGAUGUUAAAGCGCGGGGCUCAACCCUGUCGUUGCAUUUCAUACUGGCAGACUAGAGGACAGCAGAGGCAAGUGGAAUUUGUAGUGUAGCAGUGAAAUGCGUAGAUAUUACAAGGAACACCAAUGGCGAAGGCAGCUUGCUGGGCUACUCCUGACACUGAGGUACGAAAGCGUGGGGAGCGAACAGG